UGUCUGUGCCCAAGUGAGGGAGGGAAUCCCAGGGAUUCCUUCAGGCUGUUUCCCAGCAGGUUCCCCUGUAGCCCCAGGGCCAUGGGCAGGGAGCCUGGUGGGGGGCAGAGCAAGGGAGGCCUUGGGCUGGGCCUCUGCUGCUGAGCUGGGCCAGGCUCCUGGGCCCAAGGGGAGCUCCUGGCAAGCGGGCAGUGCUGCAGAGACACAGCUCUGCCCAGGAGCAGCUCCUCUGCACAGCGCAGCAGGGCUGAGGGCACUCCCUGCACAGACACAGUGGUUAAAGGCAGGCAGAAGUGGCAGGAUGCACAGAGCUCACUGAGGGAGAACACUUCCCAGCCCUGACCCCGCUCUCCAUACCCAGAUUACUUCCCUCACUCUGAUCUCAAGGACAGAGUCGUUGCCUCACAGGACCCACAAGAUUUCACCUGGAGUGCAGCAGAAAUGCCAAGGAAAGAGUCCCCUGCUUCCAGCAGCACCCUCUGGCAGCACCAACCAGAGCUCUAGCAAGGCACCUGCAGCAGAGGUUUUCCUGAAAGUACAGGUCCCCAGGCCCAGAGGAAUUAAAUGUCAACAGCAGCUCCAUCACCAAGUUCCUCCUGCUGGCCAUUCACAGACACACGGGAGCUGCAGCUCCUGCACUUCGGGCUCUUCCUGGGCAUCUACCUGGCUGCC
Long non-coding RNA from Oxyura jamaicensis (ruddy duck), 672 nucleotides. RefSeq lists it as uncharacterized. NCBI's taxonomy places the organism in Eukaryota, Metazoa, Chordata, Aves, Anseriformes, Anatidae. The transcript has 3 exons. The record is from RefSeq and is a predicted model, not a curated record.